Molecule: long non-coding RNA, 2838 nt
Filed under: Coffea arabica (coffee)
Lineage: Eukaryota; Viridiplantae; Streptophyta; Magnoliopsida; Gentianales; Rubiaceae
Description: long non-coding RNA (CARA_LNC000535)
Source: RNAcentral
UUUUUUUUUUUUUUUGGUUCUUUUUUUUUUCUGGUAAAAAAGAAAAACUUUGCAACCAGGUAAAAAAACACACGCACAUUUCCUAACAAACUAUGCAAUUGAUGUAGACAGACUAAAAGUGUCUUUUAAAUAAUUCUAGAAAAAGUAUCUUUUAAAUAAUUAUAAUGUUAACUCAUGACGUUGGUGAAUCAAUUUUCCAUAAAAUUUUGAGGGAAUUAGAUAAUUAAAUACACCAUUUGUCUUUACCUUGAUGAGUGCCUGCUGCAGCUGAUAAAUAAGGACUAAGGGUAUGUUUGUAUUUUGAUUAGGUAAUAUUCUUUUUUUUUUUCCUUUAUUAUAACUGGCGGAGGCACGGAGGGCAGGACCAUCGCCUCCUCAAAUCCUACAAAUUUAUGUUUUUCUCUCCUGUUAUUUAGACCAACCCAUGAGAAGGUAUCAUAAUAUAUUUGUAUGUACCAGUACUCAAAUGGUCCAUAAUAUUUGCGCAUUAUCCUCUUUUGGUCCCUCACACAAACAAUGACACAUUUUGACAUGACAUGUUUAAAAUAACAAGUAUGGUCCUCACCCGUUGUUGGCCAAUGUUGCCUGAAGUACUGAUGCGCACAUUUCGUGCUCGUAAAGUGAAAGGGAAAAAACAAAAAAAGAAAUGUGAUGAUGCAUAUUUUGUGCUCAUUUCUAACAACUUCUUUUUUUUUUUCAAUUUUUAUCAAUAAAAAAGGCAUGUAUGUGCUUUAUUACAUAUUUAUAAAGAUAUGACAUUUUCUUUUAGAAGAAAGAAUUAUAUUUGGCUAACUAGUUUACUGAAACACGAUCUCAGUAUGAGUGAUUAUAGAUACCAUCUGGUUUGUUGGGGACCAAGACCAAUUAUGUUAAACAUGAGGGGUUCAAAAAGGUACUAUGCAAAUAUGAAGCACCGUUUGUGCAAUGUUAAGACUACGACAAACCUGAAUGUUUAGCAUAGAAUUUUUUGUUGGUAAUUUGAUUUUAUGUUAGAAAAGAGUCAUUUGGACAGUGGUGUACAAAUUUAUCAAGUGUGGUAUUUAGUUGAUAUGCAAAUUUUUGUAGCUACUGUUGAUGUCAUUGUAUGGUAAAGUACCAUUAAGCAGUUAAGGGUUCUACAUCAUUCCUUUAUUUGGUGGGCAAACAUAGAAGCAACUCAUUCGUUCAAAUUUACUUUUUGUAACUGUCCAGCAAUACAACUAUUCAAUCUGAGCUCAUCAUAAGUUCAAAGUAGUGAAUCAGCCAAAAUAAUGUGGUGCAAUUAUAUAUUCUGUAGUGGUGGGAAAGUUAGAGCAAUGUAUAUGCUUACAGAAUAGCACAUAUUUGCAAGGAGAUUAUAGGAUCAGAACUUGUCAACUUUUUACUUCAUCGAAGACAUGGGUUAUCACAUAAAUUGUAAACAAUAAUUACCAAUUUAAAGGUCAAUCCUGUUAAAAGUUUUGUCGAAGAAGUGCAAGUUACUAUAAGUAAUUGUUGUAUUGAAUUCUAGCCAAAGGUAUUCUUGUCAAGUUGGUUAGGAAAAAAAACUUUUGGUGCUCUGUUAAAGUCAGGGGUCUCCAAAAAUUUUAUUAUCAUUACUAAAUCGAGGUAGCGUUUCAGUUGCAAGUGCAAUUACAGAGGACCAAUUUACAGCUCAAACCAGACCGCAAAAAUAAACAAACCUAUUUUUUAAUCAUCAUAGUUCACAUACAAGCCAUAACGAGAAAAACCUAAGAUAAGUUGAUCUCGAUCAAGACAAAUACCGGUUCUCCGUUCUUAAGGAAGAAAAACAUUCAAGAGCACUUCCUUUACAUCGUAUGGCAGGAUCAAAAAAAGCACGAUAUGAUACGUUUUUGCCAAACUAUACAGUAGUAAUUUCAAUGAGAAGAACUAAAAAGAGUAAAUUUAUACAAUCCCCGUAGUUUCGUUUAUUGCCACAUUAUUCUCCUAACGUUUCAAAAUAUUUACUUCAUCUCCUAUGAUUUUAUGUAAAAUAAAAACUUGAUAGAAAAUUUUCGUUUAUCGCCACAUUAUUCUCCUAACGUUUCAAAAUAUUUACUUCAUCUCCUAUGAUUUUAUGUAAAAUAAAAACUUGAUAGAAAAUAUCCUAUGUGACGUCGUUAAUUGAAAUGCCAAUAGUAUUCUUACUUGAAUGUUAAACCAAUCAACCGUUUAACUAUCUUAUAUAAAAACAUAAAAAAAUUACUUGAAUAAAUACAAAAAUUACAAGAACAUAAAAUGAAUAUUUGUACAAAUCAUAGGAGGAUUACAUGAAGAUUCAGGUACGUGUUUUUGAUAUAAAAGCCAUAACUAAUUGUACAUUCUGUUCAAUUUCCACUUUACAAAAAACAAUGGGAGUUAUGUAGCUAUUUUGAAACCUCAAGGGAGUCAUCUGACAUUAUUAAAAUCACAAGGGGGUUAUAAGUAAUUUACUUAAAUAAAAAAUCUUCAAACGUGAAAGCUGCUAUACGGUAUGACUUGCACCAUCGGUAGAGCCUGGCUCCAAUCCAACUCCAACAGCACAAUGCCCUCCACCCCCAAUAAACGUUUAAAACUUUAAGGGAAGCGGGAGUAAAUAAAGAAAAUACGAUAAUCCACGGAGAAUUUAUACCGCAAAGAGGGCCAAGUUCGGAAAUCUCUUUUCUUCUGGAUGCAUAUAUUAUCUGUUGCAUGAAGAAAGACUAAAAGGUAAAAUUUGCCCUGAUUAUAUCACCAGGACCAAGACUACACAAAUCGUAAACAUGGCAACGGUGGAAUUUGAACCUUAAACUCCAAGGAAUCAUCCCAUCUGAUCCGUCAAGAAAAAGGUAAAAGAAACUAGCAUUUUCUAGAGCUAACUGAAAGUAAAAACAUAUAAAA